This 253-nucleotide ribosomal RNA is filed under the name uncultured bacterium. RNAcentral's name for it is "partial 16S ribosomal RNA". It matches the Rfam family "Bacterial small subunit ribosomal RNA", at positions 524 to 776 of the family's 1533-position model. The record is from RNAcentral.
UACGUAGGGUGCAAGCGUUAAUCGGAAUUACUGGGCGUAAAGCGUGCGCAGGCGGUUUUGUAAGUCUGUCGUGAAAUCCCCGGGCUCAACCUGGGAAUUGCGAUGGAGACUGCAAGGGUAGAAUCUGGCAGAGGGGGGUAGAAUUCCACGUGUAGCAGUGAAAUGCGUAGAGAUGUGGAGGAACACCGAUGGCGAAGGCAGCCCCCUGGGUCAAGAUUGACGCUCAUGCACGAAAGCGUGGGGAGCAAACAGG